Molecule: ribosomal RNA, 334 nt
Filed under: uncultured eukaryote
Lineage: Eukaryota
Description: partial 18S ribosomal RNA
Rfam family: Eukaryotic small subunit ribosomal RNA
Source: RNAcentral
CCCUUAGAUGUCCGGGGCCGCACGCGCGCUACACUGAAGGAAUCAGCGUGGCUUUCUCCCUGACCCGAAAGGGUUGGGAAACCCGUUGAAUCUCCUUCGUGAUAGGUAUUGGGGCUUGAAAUUGUUCCCCAUGAACGAGGAAUUCCCAGUAAGCGCGAGUCAUAAGCUCGCGUUGAUUACGUCCCUGCCCUUUGUACACACCGCCCGUCGCUACUACCGAUUGAACGGUUUAGUGAGGGCCUCGGAUUGGUCUCGGCCCGCUCUUUACCGGGCGGCGCCGUUGGUCGAGAAGACGCUCGAACUUGAUCGUUUAGAGGAAGUAAAAGUCGUAACA